UUUUUGUUACGUUCUCAAAUGAUGUAAAGCGAAAUCGAAGUGAAAGCGCUAGUAAAAGCCAGUAGUGAUGAAUUAAACGAAGCAUAAAUAUAAAUUUGGAACUUUCCAAGCAUUUGCAAAUGACGAUACGCAGUUAUUCUAAUUGAACUGAAAAUCGCACCGUAUAGCGAUAGCAUGAUAAAAUCCAACUGGCUGCAGUUUAGUUAAAGCAAGCAAAUCUAGCCUUUUGCUGUAUGUCUAGACACUGUUCAACGCAGACAUGCAGAGAAAUACCAUAACACAAAUAAAAACCGCUCUAAGGUGUAAUCAUGCUAAAUCAUUCUUUCGGGCGACUACGUUUGGCCCUCGUUUUCACAAAUCAAGAUGUAAUUGAGCAGGGUGAUGAAUAAGAGAAGCGUGUCAAAGGGACGACUUCCUUAAAUCUCCACUUAGUUGCCGAACAUUUUUAUUUAAGUAUUUAACUAAAUAGUUAUGUGGAUUGACAGAUGUAUAAUACAACAUGUAUUGUCAUAAUUACCAAUCUCAGUGCUAUCUAUUAAAAUAUAACUUCAAGUAAUUCAAAAGUAUCUCACAGGAGACACGAAGAUUAUAUAACUGUUAACGGAAUAAUCAAAAAGAUUGUAAAUUUGCGUACCAGAUGAAAGAGUUCCAGUUUGCUUACCGAUAUACGUAUGCUGAUGUCGACGGCUGUGUGCCGUGAAGCCAGCGAAUAAAGCCAUGACCGAACGCUACUGUGCCAGUAACUGCGAAUCUGCGAAAGCCAUCGAAGGUGCUCGUGAAGUAACGUUCAAAUGUGAACACAGCUGAUAGCAUUUACACGUGUAGGUAUAAGCUGAGGCCGUUCUUCGCUGCAAAGUCUGACAAAUCUACAAUGGCUUUGUUUAAAACGCGGCUUAUCAUCUACGCAAUUGCGUUGGUAAACAUGCUAGAAUUUGUUCGCACGUGUGGUGCAGGCCCGAUUCAUAGUCUCUAUCGCAGUUUCCGCCUGCAUGUCGGGCUGGACCAUUAUGAGAGACCAGCUUCAUUUCCCAAUUUUAUGUAAGUUAAGAAGCCACGACCUACAAUCCUAAUAUGGAUAUAAGAACCCAAUAACGUAAAAAGCUCGAAUACUAUGAAAGGAAAACUAAUUCAAUUUCACCGUUCUUAUUUCGGCUACACCAAGACUCUAUAUUUGUCAAUGUAAAUCAUGUUGUUAGAUCAAGGAGGAUGCGCUCACGUUUUAAAUUUUUAUGAUGUAAUUCAGCGUAUUAUUUAAAAUUGGCAUCAAUAGAACACUAACUUAAAAACCGGUUACAAAUUUUUACGGAAAAAUAUUGAUUGUGAAAGUCUAUUUUUGCAUGCGUAUACAGUACUACUAUAUCAUAUAAACGGCUCACUAGCAAGAGGCUUGACUGGUGUUCAUUACCUCUGUAUCUAGUCGAUAACUAAUUAGACGUCUAACAAGUUUAGAGUCGCUUAGUUCAUGGAAACUAAGUUCAGCGAAGUAGGUUGUAAAAAACGUGAACAAAACACUUCAUUUUACCUAUUUAAUGCAGGAUGUUUUUUUUUACAUAUCCGCGUGUUCCGCAUUUUCAGGCACAUUCGAGAUAGCUACGAGCCUACUAAAUAUAACAGAAAGUGGUAUUACCGCCAUGGAAAUCAAAUGCUUACUAUUAAAUGUAAGGUCUAAUGUCAUAGGAAGAUAGCAUUAACAAGUUAUCUGGGCAUAACACUUAUUUUUGGUGCACCAGGCUACAAGGUUGUUUGAAGUUUGAAUACUGAAGAAUCCAUUUUUAAAUUAGUAUUGUAGUAUUAGGAAACCAGUACUAUAAAGUUUCAUGGACUAUUACUACAUAAUAACCGUGUACAUCCCGGGAAAUAAUAACUAACGACAAACCGAUGCUUGUAUAACUUGAAUAUGUGCGACUUACCGAGCUUGCUAAAUCUGACGUUACAGUUACUAGUACAAACAGCUGACACAAACGUAGAAGACAGAAAAAAACACGACUCAAGCAAUUAGCUACAAUUACACCCAUGCUUUCGAAAAUUUCACAUGAAAGCUAGAUAAAUCGUCGUUAAUAAAAUCUAUGUGAAACAUAAUCGGAAGAAA
Molecule: long non-coding RNA, 2089 nt
Organism: Varroa destructor (honeybee mite)
Lineage: Eukaryota; Metazoa; Arthropoda; Arachnida; Mesostigmata; Varroidae
Source: RefSeq, a predicted model, not a curated record